Long non-coding RNA from Tachysurus vachellii, 588 nucleotides. RefSeq lists it as uncharacterized. The record is from RefSeq and is a predicted model, not a curated record. The transcript is spliced from 3 exons. Lineage: Eukaryota; Metazoa; Chordata; Actinopteri; Siluriformes; Bagridae.
GCUGGUCUAAGAUGGCGAAGACAUAUUGGAGUCAGUGUCUCAGGUUCCUGAAUAGGAUACAUCGAAGAUAGCAUGACCACGUCAUGGCGUGACCUAAGUGGAUGUUCUUGGCUCAUCCUGAAGUAUAUACACAAAAAACCCUGCGGUUCUUCCUACCUCAGUGUUGUGAUCAUGGUCUAUGGUGCUGUGAACUGAGGUAGUAGUUUGUAUAGUUUGGGAUCACACCAGAUCUAGGAGAUAACUAUACAGCCUACUGUCUUUCUCACGGCUACCUCGAUGCAUCAUGGAGGAGAGAAAGGGCAAGCCACACGCUCCGAUGAAAUGUACUGCACGGGACAUAUCUGGAUGUGGCUCGGUUGUGCUGAGGUAGUAAGUUGUGUUGUUGUGGGGACUUGGAAUGUUUUGCCCUUUUUUUGGAGAUAACUAUACAUCUUACUGCCUUUCAUGCCAGAGUCUUGAACGUGAAGUUAUUAUAAAUAAUUCCAUCAUUAAUAAAUGAUGUAUUUUAUUAUGUAUUGCUUCUGAAUGUUUUUUGUUUUCUUGUCUGUGAGUCAAGAAGUAAUUUCAAUAAACUUUUUUUCUGAAGUA